UACGUAGGGUGCAAGCGUUGUCCGGAAUUAUUGGGCGUAAAGAGCUCGUAGGCGGUCUGUCGCGUCGGGUGUGAAAAUCCAGGGCUUAACCCUGGACCUGCAUUCGAUACGGGCAGACUAGAGUUCGGUAGGGGAGACUGGAAUUCCUGGUGUAGCGGUGGAAUGCGCAGAUAUCAGGAGGAACACCGAUGGCGAAGGCAGAUCUCUGGGCCGUAACUGACGCUGAGGAGCGAAAGCGUGGGGAGCGAACAGG
This 253-nucleotide ribosomal RNA is filed under the name uncultured bacterium. RNAcentral's name for it is "partial 16S ribosomal RNA". It matches the Rfam family "Bacterial small subunit ribosomal RNA", at positions 524 to 776 of the family's 1533-position model. The record is from RNAcentral.